UACAGAGGUGGCAAGCGUUGUUCGGAAUUACUGGGCGUAAAGGGCGCGUAGGCGGCCUUCUAAGUCAGACGUGAAAUCCCCAGGCUUAACUUGGGAACUGCGUCUGAUACUGGGAGGCUUGAGUGCGGGAGAGGGAUGUGGAAUUCCAGGUGUAGCGGUGAAAUGCGUAGAUAUCUGGAGGAACACCGGUGGCGAAGGCGGCAUCCUGGACCGACACUGACGCUGAGGCGCGAAAGCCAGAGGAGCAAACGGG
This 253-nucleotide ribosomal RNA is filed under the name uncultured bacterium. Its description in RNAcentral is "partial 16S ribosomal RNA". It matches the Rfam family "Bacterial small subunit ribosomal RNA", at positions 524 to 776 of the family's 1533-position model. The record is from RNAcentral.